AUGGGCAGCUACAAUGCGUUCCUGGAGACCACGCUACCGCUGGAGCACCGCAUCUAUGACCCGGACGUGGAGUCGUUGUAUGGCCCUCCCAUGGGUGUCUUCAAGUUCCGGCACUGGGGCUACAUGGAGGGCCCGUUCAAGGGCCACCCUCCGCACUGCCGCCGCAUCGAGUUCUUCGGCGUCCGUGUCUUCCACGUCGAUGAAGACACCAAGGUGGAGAAGGCAGAGUUCUUCUACGAGCGUGGCAACUUCCUCGCAAGCUUCUUGUCUGUGCCUGCUACUUCUGCUUCUGCUGCAUCGGCUUCAGGUUGCCUUGUGAUGAGAGGAGAUUGA
This 333-nucleotide ribosomal RNA is filed under the name Triticum aestivum (bread wheat). RNAcentral's name for it is "partial small subunit ribosomal RNA". The record is from RNAcentral. Lineage: Eukaryota; Viridiplantae; Streptophyta; Magnoliopsida; Poales; Poaceae.